UGGGGAGGAAAAAAAAGAAGAAGAUUGGCAACAGAUGUUAGCUCAGGGCUAAUCUACCUCACUAAAAAGCAUUAAAAAAAAAGAUAGUAAUAAAAUUCUUUACAUAUUAAAAACAAAGCGUUUUUAACCUUCUAUACCUUUAUGCUUCCAAUUCUUUUUCAGACUGAAUUCUCUCUACAAACACAUGAUUGCUUAAUACCAGUGUCUGAGUUCCCUGUAAUUUCCAGAUCUCUGGGUUUCAUUGUUAAAUAGCACUGUCCAAUAUGGUAGCCACUAGUCAGUGGCUGUUGAGCACUUGAAAUGUGGCUGGUCUGACUUGAGAUGUAUUGUAAGUGUAAAAUAUGUAGUUGAUCUCAAAGACUUAGUACGUGAAAUGGACAGAUUCUAAGAUGGCUCCCAAUAAUCCUGCCUCACACCCUUGUGGAAUCUCCUCCCUUUUGAAUGAGUGUGGGACCUGUGACUUGCUUUUAACCAAUAGAACAUGGCAAAGAUGAUAGGAUGUCAAGUCCACAGUUAUGUUAUAUAGAUUGUAACUGUCAUCUUGCUAACAGACUCUAUUGCCUCUCCUUUUCUGGCUUUGAUGGAGAGACCCGUGUGGCAAGGAACUGAGAGUGGAUUCCAGCUGACAGCCAGCAGCAAGGUGAGACCUCUAGUCUGAUAACUCACAAAGAACUGAAUCCUGCCUUCAACCAUGUGGUCUUGGAAGAGGAUCUUUCCCCAUUGCAGUCUCAGGCAUGUGCUGCCACCCACUCGCCAGGGAAUUGCUGCUGUCCAGAGCUGUUGAUGCUACAACCCUUCAGUGUGUUGGGACAGAAGAAGUGCUGAGAAUAACUAACAGGGAAGAAUUCACCCUGAUCUGACCUAACAUCUGUCACCAAUCUUCCUCUUUUUCUUUUUCUUCACCCCAAAGCCCCAGUACAUGGUUGUAGAUCACAGUGGUAAGUCCUUCUAGUUCUCUAUGUGGCUGCCACUACAGCAAGGCAACGGACGGACAGGUGGUGUGCUUCUGAGCCCAGGAAAUGAACUGGGGCCAUGGGGGUGAGAACGCAGAACUUUAACCACUCGACCAUCAGGGCUAGCUCAGAGAAGGCACUCGAGAUAGGAACGUAUACUUCCCCUCCUGUGAGGCCGGUAUCAGUAAUGUCCUAUUGGUAAAACCAGUAUUAGUACUCCUGAGGGUCAAGGUCAUGUUGACCUGCUAAUUUGCAGCUGAAUACCUUUUUGAAACUUUGAUCAAUAUGUAUCCUGGGCGUGUUUAAUGCAUGUUCUUUGUUCUGAAAAGGUUAUAAGACUGUACCAAAAACCAUGCUUCUCCAGAACGCUUUCUUCCUUUGUGGAAACUGCCCUCCAGGGUUAUAAUCCUCCCCUAGUGUUACCACACAAAGUGGGGAUUCACUCACCCCAUGUGCAUAAACAGCCAAUUAAUUACAGCAACGGCUUUUGGGAAAAGAGAUCAGCUUUAUUCUGCAAGAUCAACCUACAAGGAGACAGGCGGCGCGUACCCUCAGAUCUGUCUCCCUGACUCAGGAUUUGGGGUGAAAUUGAAGAGGUUAGGGAGAACAGGCUGGCACGCGGAAACGCUGGUGGGACAGGUUUUGAUUGGUG
Long non-coding RNA from Equus caballus (horse), 1605 nucleotides. RefSeq lists it as uncharacterized. The record is from RefSeq and is a predicted model, not a curated record. NCBI's taxonomy places the organism in Eukaryota, Metazoa, Chordata, Mammalia, Perissodactyla, Equidae.